RNAcentral lists this ribosomal RNA (774 nucleotides) under uncultured Bacillota bacterium. RNAcentral's name for it is "bacterial SSU rRNA". It matches the Rfam family "Bacterial small subunit ribosomal RNA", at positions 9 to 794 of the family's 1533-position model. The record is from RNAcentral. Lineage: Bacteria; Bacillati; Bacillota.
AGGGAGUUUGAUCCUGGCUCAGGACGAACGCUGGCGGCGCGCUUAACACAUGCAAGUCGAACGGUGAAGGUGCUUCGGCACCGGAUCAGUGGCGGACGGGUGAGUUUCACGUGAGCAACCUGCCCUUCAGAGGGGGAUAACAUUGAGAAAUCAGUGCUAAUACCGCAUAAGACCACAGUAAGGCAUCUUACAGGGGUCAAAGGAGCAAUCCGCUGAAGGAUGGGCUCGCGUCCCAUUAGGCAGUUGGCGGGGUAACGGCCCACCAAACCUGUGAUGGGUAGCCGUGCUGAGAGGCAGGCCGGCCACACUGGAACUGAGACACGGUCCAGACUCCUACGGGAGGCAGCAGUGGGGAAUAUUGGGCAAUGGACGAAAGUCUGACCCAGCGACGCCGCGUGGAGGAAGAAGGCCCUCGGGUUGUAAACUCCUGUGACAGGGGACGAAGGAAGUGACGGUACCCUGAGAGGAAGCCCCGGCUAACUACGUGCCAGCAGCCGCGGUAAUACGUAGGGGGCGAGCGUUGUCCGGAAUUACUGGGCGUAAAGGGCGCGUAGGCGGUUUGUUAAGUUUGCUGUGAAAUGCCGGGGCUCAACUCCGGCACUGCGGUGAAAACUGGCAGACUCGAGUAUGUCAGAGGCAAGCGGAAUUCCCAGUGUAGCGGUGAAAUGCACAGAGAUUGGGAGGAACAUCGGUGGCGAAGGCGGCUUGCUGGGGCAAAACUGACGCUGAGGCGCGAAAGCGUGGGGAGCAAACAGGAUUAGAUACCCUGGUCCU